CAGCCGCCGCGGGAAUACGGAGGGGGCUAGCGUUGUUCGGAAUUACUGGGCGUAAAGCGCACGUAGGCGGCUUGGUAAGUUAGAGGUGAAAGCCUGGAGCUCAACUCCAGAAUUGCCUUUAAGACUGCCGAGCUAGCAGGUGAGAGAGGUAAGUGGAAUUCCGAGUGUAGAGGUGAAAUUCGUAGAUAUUCGGAGGAACACCAGUGGCGAAGGCGGCUUACUGGCUCAUACUGGACGCUGAGGUGCGAAAGCGUGGGGAGCAAACAGGAUUAGAUACCCCCGUAGUCCCUGUCUCUUAUAC
Molecule: ribosomal RNA, 301 nt
Filed under: uncultured bacterium
Lineage: Bacteria
Description: partial 16S ribosomal RNA
Rfam family: Bacterial small subunit ribosomal RNA
Source: RNAcentral